CCGGAUGUUAGCGGCGGACGGGUGAGUAACACGUGGGUAACCUGCCUGUAAGACUGGGAUAACUCCGGGAAACCGGAGCUAAUACCGGAUAGUUCCUUGAACCGCAUGGUUCAAGGAUGAAAGACGGUUUCGGCUGUCACUUACAGAUGGACCCGCGGCGCAUUAGCUAGUUGGUGAGGUAACGGCUCACCAAGGCGACGAUGCGUAGCCGACCUGAGAGGGUGAUCGGCCACACUGGGACUGAGACACGGCCCAGACUCCUACGGGAGGCAGCAGUAGGGAAUCUUCCGCAAUGGACGAAAGUCUGACGGAGCAACGCCGCGUGAGUGAUGAAGGUUUUCGGAUCGUAAAGCUCUGUUGUUAGGGAAGAACAAGUGCAAGAGUAACUGCUUGCACCUUGACGGUACCUAACCAGAAAGCCACGGCUAACUACGUGCCAGCAGCCGCGGUAAUACGUAGGUGGCAAGCGUUGUCCGGAAUUAUUGGGCGUAAAGGGCUCGCAGGCGGUUUCUUAAGUCUGAUGUGAAAGCCCCCGGCUCAACCGGGGAGGGUCAUUGGAAACUGGGAAACUUUGAGUGCAGAAGAGGAGAGUGGAAUUC
RNAcentral lists this ribosomal RNA (599 nucleotides) under Bacillus altitudinis. RNAcentral's name for it is "bacterial SSU rRNA". It matches the Rfam family "Bacterial small subunit ribosomal RNA", at positions 85 to 669 of the family's 1533-position model. The record is from RNAcentral. Lineage: Bacteria; Bacillati; Bacillota; Bacilli; Caryophanales; Bacillaceae.